Molecule: ribosomal RNA, 2903 nt
Filed under: Escherichia coli
Lineage: Bacteria; Pseudomonadati; Pseudomonadota; Gammaproteobacteria; Enterobacterales; Enterobacteriaceae
Description: 23S ribosomal RNA
Rfam family: Bacterial large subunit ribosomal RNA
Source: RNAcentral
GGUUAAGCGACUAAGCGUACACGGUGGAUGCCCUGGCAGUCAGAGGCGAUGAAGGACGUGCUAAUCUGCGAUAAGCGUCGGUAAGGUGAUAUGAACCGUUAUAACCGGCGAUUUCCGAAUGGGGAAACCCAGUGUGUUUCGACACACUAUCAUUAACUGAAUCCAUAGGUUAAUGAGGCGAACCGGGGGAACUGAAACAUCUAAGUACCCCGAGGAAAAGAAAUCAACCGAGAUUCCCCCAGUAGCGGCGAGCGAACGGGGAGCAGCCCAGAGCCUGAAUCAGUGUGUGUGUUAGUGGAAGCGUCUGGAAAGGCGCGCGAUACAGGGUGACAGCCCCGUACACAAAAAUGCACAUGCUGUGAGCUCGAUGAGUAGGGCGGGACACGUGGUAUCCUGUCUGAAUAUGGGGGGACCAUCCUCCAAGGCUAAAUACUCCUGACUGACCGAUAGUGAACCAGUACCGUGAGGGAAAGGCGAAAAGAACCCCGGCGAGGGGAGUGAAAAAGAACCUGAAACCGUGUACGUACAAGCAGUGGGAGCACGCUUAGGCGUGUGACUGCGUACCUUUUGUAUAAUGGGUCAGCGACUUAUAUUCUGUAGCAAGGUUAACCGAAUAGGGGAGCCGAAGGGAAACCGAGUCUUAACUGGGCGUUAAGUUGCAGGGUAUAGACCCGAAACCCGGUGAUCUAGCCAUGGGCAGGUUGAAGGUUGGGUAACACUAACUGGAGGACCGAACCGACUAAUGUUGAAAAAUUAGCGGAUGACUUGUGGCUGGGGGUGAAAGGCCAAUCAAACCGGGAGAUAGCUGGUUCUCCCCGAAAGCUAUUUAGGUAGCGCCUCGUGAACUCAUCUCCGGGGGUAGAGCACUGUUUCGGCAAGGGGGUCAUCCCGACUUACCAACCCGAUGCAAACUGCGAAUACCGGAGAAUGUUAUCACGGGAGACACACGGCGGGUGCUAACGUCCGUCGUGAAGAGGGAAACAACCCAGACCGCCAGCUAAGGUCCCAAAGUCAUGGUUAAGUGGGAAACGAUGUGGGAAGGCCCAGACAGCCAGGAUGUUGGCUUAGAAGCAGCCAUCAUUUAAAGAAAGCGUAAUAGCUCACUGGUCGAGUCGGCCUGCGCGGAAGAUGUAACGGGGCUAAACCAUGCACCGAAGCUGCGGCAGCGACACUAUGUGUUGUUGGGUAGGGGAGCGUUCUGUAAGCCUGUGAAGGUGUACUGUGAGGUAUGCUGGAGGUAUCAGAAGUGCGAAUGCUGACAUAAGUAACGAUAAAGCGGGUGAAAAGCCCGCUCGCCGGAAGACCAAGGGUUCCUGUCCAACGUUAAUCGGGGCAGGGUGAGUCGACCCCUAAGGCGAGGCCGAAAGGCGUAGUCGAUGGGAAACAGGUUAAUAUUCCUGUACUUGGUGUUACUGCGAAGGGGGGACGGAGAAGGCUAUGUUGGCCGGGCGACGGUUGUCCCGGUUUAAGCGUGUAGGCUGGUUUUCCAGGCAAAUCCGGAAAAUCAAGGCUGAGGCGUGAUGACGAGGCACUACGGUGCUGAAGCAACAAAUGCCCUGCUUCCAGGAAAAGCCUCUAAGCAUCAGGUAACAUCAAAUCGUACCCCAAACCGACACAGGUGGUCAGGUAGAGAAUACCAAGGCGCUUGAGAGAACUCGGGUGAAGGAACUAGGCAAAAUGGUGCCGUAACUUCGGGAGAAGGCACGCUGAUAUGUAGGUGAAGCGACUUGCUCGUGGAGCUGAAAUCAGUCGAAGAUACCAGCUGGCUGCAACUGUUUAUUAAAAACACAGCACUGUGCAAACACGAAAGUGGACGUAUACGGUGUGACGCCUGCCCGGUGCCGGAAGGUUAAUUGAUGGGGUUAGCGCAAGCGAAGCUCUUGAUCGAAGCCCCGGUAAACGGCGGCCGUAACUAUAACGGUCCUAAGGUAGCGAAAUUCCUUGUCGGGUAAGUUCCGACCUGCACGAAUGGCGUAAUGAUGGCCAGGCUGUCUCCACCCGAGACUCAGUGAAAUUGAACUCGCUGUGAAGAUGCAGUGUACCCGCGGCAAGACGGAAAGACCCCGUGAACCUUUACUAUAGCUUGACACUGAACAUUGAGCCUUGAUGUGUAGGAUAGGUGGGAGGCUUUGAAGUGUGGACGCCAGUCUGCAUGGAGCCGACCUUGAAAUACCACCCUUUAAUGUUUGAUGUUCUAACGUUGACCCGUAAUCCGGGUUGCGGACAGUGUCUGGUGGGUAGUUUGACUGGGGCGGUCUCCUCCUAAAGAGUAACGGAGGAGCACGAAGGUUGGCUAAUCCUGGUCGGACAUCAGGAGGUUAGUGCAAUGGCAUAAGCCAGCUUGACUGCGAGCGUGACGGCGCGAGCAGGUGCGAAAGCAGGUCAUAGUGAUCCGGUGGUUCUGAAUGGAAGGGCCAUCGCUCAACGGAUAAAAGGUACUCCGGGGAUAACAGGCUGAUACCGCCCAAGAGUUCAUAUCGACGGCGGUGUUUGGCACCUCGAUGUCGGCUCAUCACAUCCUGGGGCUGAAGUAGGUCCCAAGGGUAUGGCUGUUCGCCAUUUAAAGUGGUACGCGAGCUGGGUUUAGAACGUCGUGAGACAGUUCGGUCCCUAUCUGCCGUGGGCGCUGGAGAACUGAGGGGGGCUGCUCCUAGUACGAGAGGACCGGAGUGGACGCAUCACUGGUGUUCGGGUUGUCAUGCCAAUGGCACUGCCCGGUAGCUAAAUGCGGAAGAGAUAAGUGCUGAAAGCAUCUAAGCACGAAACUUGCCCCGAGAUGAGUUCUCCCUGACUCCUUGAGAGUCCUGAAGGAACGUUGAAGACGACGACGUUGAUAGGCCGGGUGUGUAAGCGCAGCGAUGCGUUGAGCUAACCGGUACUAAUGAACCGUGAGGCUUAACCUU